RNA transcript from Myotis brandtii (Brandt's bat), 1525 nucleotides. It is a transcript of the gene named ADP-ribosylation factor-like 6 interacting protein 6, with no coding region annotated. The transcript is spliced from 6 exons. The record is from RefSeq and is a predicted model, not a curated record. NCBI's taxonomy places the organism in Eukaryota, Metazoa, Chordata, Mammalia, Chiroptera, Vespertilionidae.
GUCUUUCCCGCCAUGUCGUUCGUGGAGAGCGCGAAGCGCUCCUCUUUGCAGCGCCGCCGACGCGGCACCCCAGUCCCUUUCGCUCGGCCGAGGUUAUCCGCCUUGACUCAAGGGGACAGUUGGGGUGAAGGUGAAGUCGACGACGAGGAGGGAUACGACCAAGUAGCCCGCGACCUGCGGGCGGAACUGUCCGCGGGGGCGUCGCCGGAGCCUAGAAAGGGCGCGCUGCUCCCGCCGGAGAAGGACGGCUCUCCCGUCCUGCCUGACAAACGCAACGGCUUCUUCUCGGCGGAGGCGCGCGGCCCAGCCCGGGCGCGGCGGUGGCCGGUGCAGGUCCUCUCGAUUCUCUGUGCGCUGCUGUUUGCCGUCCUCCUCGCUUGCCUUCUCGCCAUCGCCUACCUGAUCGUGAAAGACUUACAUGCUGAGAAUUUGAAGAAUGAAGACGAUGUAGACACGGGGCUAUUAGGAUUCUGGACUCUACUUAUAAUAUCCCUAACUGCUGGGUUCUCCUGCUGCAGCUUUUCUUGGACAGUGACUUACUUUGACUCUUUUGAGCCAGGAAUGUUUCCUCCUACUCCUCUUUCACCUGCCAGGUUCAAGAAACUUACUGGACAUUCUUUCCACAUGGGCUAUAGCAUGGCAAUUUUGAACGGCAUUGUAGCUGCUCUUACUAUUGCAUGGUGCCUCAUGUAAACCUGCACUGAAACAGUAUUCUUGGCAAAGCUUAGUCAUGAUUGCUUUGUAGUACCAGGGAAGAAGAUCAUUGCCUACUCAGAAGACCAAGAAACCUGCUGUUCGUUAUGUGAUUCCGAUGUCUGCCAUAUCAUCAUUAUGGAGGACCUUCUUAAGCAUCAUUCUUCAACCUAGGCACUGGGUUAUCUGAAUAUUAAGUUUCAAGUAGUUUCUUAAAAUUGGCCCCAGCUGAAGAACCUAAGGCAAAAUGGAUAUGACAGAGGACCUGAUCAAAAAGACAUCCGGUGCCCAUCAAUGCGCAUGCCAGCCCUGCUGGUAUUUCAGAAAAGCCUGCAGAGUAUCACUCCUCCUGCGUGCCAUCUCCUAUGCAGCUUACCACUGGUGUAUAACCUUGGGAAGAAUCAUGGGCAGCUACUACCCACGCUUAUUUAAUCGUCCUUUUUAGGAAGAUGUCACAUUACAAAAAAAUAAUAAUAAAAAAAUAGGCCUGCUCCCCAGAAUAAUGUAGGUUCUUACUGAAGAUUUAAUGGAAAAUGGAGAAGAGAGUUUAGAUUACAUACAUCAAAAUAAACCUGAGGAAAAUCUCUGUAUUACAUCUCUGAUCUAUUCCCAAAUGUUCUUUCUGGCUGGCAGUAUCUUUAUGUCCACACCCUAAUCUCUCCUGCAGCCUCGAAAACCUCAUCUAUUUUCUGGAGCCCUUCUGCUUGGUCCAUACCUCACUUUGCAAAAUGAAACAUGUUGGCCAACCAGCUCUUUGCCCUUAAGAAAUCAAUUCAGGCUCAGGUACUAUAGUCUAUUGUUAUUCACGUCUGCCCUUGAAGCUUUAGUCCAG